GACGAACGCUGGCGGCGUGCUUAACACAUGCAAGUCGAACGGUGAAGCGCCUUCCUUUUUGGUGGGUGUGGAUGAGUGGCGAACGGGUGAGUAACACGUGAGUAACCUGCCCCCUUCUUCUGGAUAACCGCAUGAAAGUGUGGCUAAUACGGGAUAUUCUGGGUCUGUCGCAUGAUGGGUCUGGGAAAGAUCUUGUUUCGGUGGGGGAUGGGCUCGCGGCCUAUCAGCUUGUUGGUGGGGCGAUGGCCUACCAAGGCGGUGACGGGUAGCCGGCCUGAGAGGGUGGACGGUCACACUGGGACUGAGACACGGCGAAGACUCAGACGGGAGGCAGCAGUGGAGAAUAUUGCACAAUCGGAGCAAGCCUGAUGCAGCGACGCCGCGUGAGGGAUGGAGGCCUUCGGGUUGUGAACCUCUUUCGCCAGUGAAGCAGGCCUGCCUCGUUUGUGGGUGGGUUGACGGUAGCUGGAUAAGAAGCGCCGGCUAACUACGUG
RNAcentral lists this ribosomal RNA (494 nucleotides) under uncultured bacterium. RNAcentral describes it as "partial 16S ribosomal RNA". It matches the Rfam family "Bacterial small subunit ribosomal RNA", at positions 28 to 507 of the family's 1533-position model. The record is from RNAcentral.